UACAGAGGUCUCGAGCGUUAGGCGGAAUCACUGGGCUUAAAGCGUGUGUAGGCGGAUUGCUAAGUACCUUGUGAAAUCCCACGGCUUAACCGUGGAACUGCUUGGUAUACUGCCAGUCUUGAGCCAGCUAGGGGCUACCGGAACAAAUGGUGGAGCGGUGAAAUGCGUAGAUAUCAUUUGGAACGCCAAUGGUGAAAACAGGUAGCUGGGGCUGUGCUGACGCUGAGACACGAAAGCCAGGGGAGCAAACGGG
RNAcentral lists this ribosomal RNA (253 nucleotides) under uncultured bacterium. RNAcentral describes it as "partial 16S ribosomal RNA". It matches the Rfam family "Bacterial small subunit ribosomal RNA", at positions 524 to 776 of the family's 1533-position model. The record is from RNAcentral.